Long non-coding RNA from Lolium perenne, 829 nucleotides. RefSeq lists it as uncharacterized. Lineage: Eukaryota; Viridiplantae; Streptophyta; Magnoliopsida; Poales; Poaceae. The record is from RefSeq and is a predicted model, not a curated record.
CCUGUUUGUACCGGUUAAAGUUGGAAGGAAAAAAAAAUAGAACAGCACCACGGGUGAGCAAAUCCCUAAUUCCUCUCGCGUGCGUUCCUCUCGCCGGCCGGCCGCCGCUGCAGUCCGGCGCCACGCCGCCUCCUCUCCCGCUGGCCGUCGCUUCAGUUCGGCGCCACGCCGCCUCCUUUCCCUCCGGCCGCCGCUGCAGUCCAGCGCCAUGCCGCCUCCUCUGUCCUCUUCCGUCGGCUGCUGCUGCAGUCUGGCGCCACACUGCCUCCUCUACCGCCGGCCGCCUCUGCAGUCCGCCGCCAAGGCCGCGCCUCCUCUCCCGACGCCGCAGUCCGCCGCCACGCUGCCUCCUCUCCGGCCGCCCGGCCGCCGCGCGCCCUCUUCCGCAUUCCAGCCGCCGUCGCGCACUGAUGGACCCCGAGGAUGAAGCGGCACGAGCGGCCUGGAUACUGGAGCACGAGGAAGAAGAAUCCGCAGGAGAAGAGGCAGCGCCCCAAGGCGAACAGAACACUCAACAAGCAAAUGUCCCUGAAAUGUUUGAUCUAGCAAAUGUCAUCUCUGAUCCUGGAAUGCGGAGACCAAUCGAUGAAUUUGAUACCCUGGAAAUUAGAGAUAAAAUGAGAUGGACAUAUUUAUCGAGAGGCCCGAGUCGUUUGAUUGUUCAUAAUUUUCCCAAAACCAAAUUUGGUUUGGAUUGGCUGUCAUUUCGAGAUGCAUGGUAUCCAAGUCGUUCUUAUUUAUUUUCAUGUAUCCAAGUCGUUCUUAUUUAUUUUCAUGUUUUUGCUAGUUGUAUUUCAUGAAUUAUGAAAACUGAAUCUUUAGGGUCAUU